This 484-nucleotide ribosomal RNA is filed under the name uncultured bacterium. RNAcentral describes it as "partial 16S ribosomal RNA". It matches the Rfam family "Bacterial small subunit ribosomal RNA", at positions 899 to 1397 of the family's 1533-position model. The record is from RNAcentral.
ACUCAAAUGAAUUGACGGGGACCCGCACAAGCGGUGGAGCGUGUUCUUUAAUUCGAGGAUAAGCGAAGAACCUUACCAAGACUUGACAUCCUUGGAAAUUCUGGGAAACCAGAGUGUGCCUUCGGGAACCAAGUGACAGGUGUUGCAUGGCCGUCGUCAGCUCGUGUCGUGAGAUGUUUGGUUAAGUCCAUCAACGAGCGCAACCCCUAUGAUUAGUUGUAUUUUUCUAAUUAGACCGCCUCGGUAACGGGGAGGAAGGAGGGGUCGAAGUCAGGUCAUUAUUACCCUUACGUCUUGGGCUAGAAACGCGCUACAAUGGCUGGUACAAAGGGCUGCCAACCCGCGAGGGGGAGCAAAUCCCAUCAAAGCCAGUCCCAGUUCGGAUUGCAGGCUGAAACUCGCCUGCAUGAAGUCGGAAUCGCUAGUAAUCGUAGGUCAGCACACUACGGUGAAUCCGUUCCCGGGUCUUGCACACACCGCCCGU